GACGAACCGAGCGAACGUUGUUCGGAAUCACUGGGCUUAAAGGGCGCGUAGGCGGGUGCUCAAGUCCGUGGUGAAAUCCUCCGGCUCAACCGGAGAACUGCCUCGGAUACUGGGUGCCUCGAGGGUGGUAGGGGUAUGCGGAACUAUCGGUGGAGCGGUGAAAUGCGUUGAUAUCGAUAGGAACUCCGGUGGCGAAGGCGGCAUACUGGACCGCCUCUGACGCUGAGGCGCGAAAGCCAGGGGAGCAAACAGG
Molecule: ribosomal RNA, 253 nt
Filed under: uncultured bacterium
Lineage: Bacteria
Description: partial 16S ribosomal RNA
Rfam family: Bacterial small subunit ribosomal RNA
Source: RNAcentral